UUUCCGUAGGUGAACCUGCGGAAGGAUCAUUAUUGUAUAACCGAGGUGCGAGGGCUGUCGCUGACCCGAAAGGUCGUGCACGCCCGAGUGCCCUCACCCACAUCCAUCUCACCCCUAUGUGCACCACCGCGUGGGUCCCCCUUUGGCUUGUUCGGAGGGGGCCUUACGUUUUCACACAAACUUUGUAUGUAGUGUAGAAUGUAUUUUUUGUUUUUGCGAUCACGCAAUCAAUACAACUUUCAACAACGGAUCUCUUGGCUCUC
This 263-nucleotide unclassified non-coding RNA is filed under the name plant metagenome. RNAcentral's name for it is "partial contains small subunit ribosomal RNA, internal transcribed spacer 1, and 5.8S ribosomal RNA". The record is from RNAcentral.